CUCUCGCGUCACAAUAAUGUGCUCUCGACAAUUGACAGUAAAAUAACGCCAUAGGGGACCCAACAGCAGAAAACAUUGCGAAAGCCAAAGCUGGAAACGUAAAGGUGUCACUACCCUGGCUGACAUGCAAAAAGGAAAAUCCUGACCCUGAUGGCCACCCUAUUACUGGUUCAGCAGAACAUUAUGUUCUGUAUGACCGGCUACUGCGGUCACGCCAUCUGCGCUUCGGAGAAACGCGGUCACGCUAUCUAUGCUUUAAAUUGUACUGCGCGUCUACAUGAGGUUGCGUGGUAGGUGUUUUGUGUCGGUAGAAAUAUUUUAAAAAUUCAUUAAAAAAAUAAAUAAAAUCAAACUGUUUACUGCAAACUUCACAUGAUUCUUGUUCUACAUCUCCCCAAGAACCACUGUGGUGAUUUUCAUGUUCUUUUACUGUUUUAUUUGGUUGAGUUGAUUAACUGAAUGCUCUCCACCUGUGCUAAUUAGUUUUAUUAUCUGAACCUGGUCCUCCCAAACUUUGUAAUUUGGAGUUUGACAGACAGACUUUUUUUUUCAAACAGGUGUUUUUUAUUAGUGAAGUUCACAACGUAAUUUCGGGAGGAGUGAACCCAUCUAAUAUUUCAAUUAGUGAAACUUAAAACAUAAUCUCAAGAGGAGGGAACCCUAAUCUUUCAAUUACAUCCAGAGCAUAUAAGCAGCUACUCACCCUGCUCUGGCAUCAGUUGUUUCGAUAUCCCUCCACCUCCCCAACUCCACCACAUAAAUUAAGCAUCUCAUCUAUCUUACUCCUCUUCCAUGCACUAGUAGUCCCUGGGGGGAAUAUCCAAGCUCGAGUUGAAGCUGCUUCCUUGAGCCCCUCCACAGCGGACAGCAAGCCAAAUACGCUUAACCUUAUUAGCUUAAAGAUUUUAUGAGGAAACAAACUCGUGAAUAAACAGGUGAGUGCUAAAAUCAAUUUAGAUUGAUGGCGCUUAGCUUGAGCAUUAACAGUUCUUGGUUUGUUGCAGGUGCUGAUGUCCAUGUGGUGCUGGCUUGGAGAAGACUGGAACUGAAGACUGAAGACCAUACCACACCACAAUUAUGCAAAGUUCCAUGGACAUUGGUGGAGAUCAUUCCACCGAUCCAUUUUCAGACCUCGUUCAGGCAGUUUGUCACUCAUUCACCUGUUGCUACUUCAAGCUCCACUGAGUUUCUGUCAGCCUCUACUCCGGCUAUCAUCUGCAAACCAAUGGCACCAGACUCACAGCAUUCCAGUGCAUCCUUGGAUAACAGCCUCCUCUGUUCCCCUGGUUUUGCAAACCAUUGGAGGUUCCAGCUGUCAAUCAUUGUUUCCAGCAGAGCAAGAGGAAGUGGGACUCAGCAGACAUGCAUCUCCAACAGGCAGUGCGGAGACACAAGACAAUCUGACGCUCCCAGCAGAACAUCGACUCAGUACCAACCAGGUCAGAAGGUGUGGCUCUCUGCACGGGACAUCCGUAAGCUGAGUCCCUGUUAUGUAGGUCCCUUCACUGUGCAGAGGCAGAUCAACGAGGUCCAAUACAGGAUCUGGUGGUGAUGAGAUACCUCCUCCUCCUGAACUGGCUGACGACGAGGUCAUCUACCGGGUCCACUCCAUUAUCGACUCGCGCCGACGGGGCAAUCGUAUCGAAUACCUCAUUGACUGCACCAAGAUGUAGAGGCAGGCCCCAUCAUCGCACCAUCUGGACAUCAGGAGCCGCUCGUGGAGGAGGGGGUACUGUCAUGGAGUUGCAACCAUCUCAGACACCAUUCUGCCCAUCGUCACCAGACCAGCACGUUCUGCCAGCUCAGUCACUCUCCCCAGAAUUCUGAUUCACUACACCUGUACUCCCUUAUCAACACACCCCAUAUAUUCCAUCACAUCCUGCACUCCUUUGUCUGGUCUUGUCAUUCCCAUGCGAACAGACUCCUUUCCUGCUACUCACCUGUGUACUUACCUGCCGCCAAGGAUCCUGUGUUCUGUCGUCUGCUACCAGCCCAUCGAGUGUACCUACCAGUCCUCCUCCUGCAUCUGCCAUAUUACAUUCCAAAAUUUGAUUUCAUAUUUUUAUGAAUUUUUAAAAUUGGUCUGUAUAGAGAAGGAAAUAGUGUAUGACUUCGGUAUAUAAUUAUUAAAGAACAUUUUAUGAAUUUUUAAAAUGUGUCUGUAUAGCAACAUAAACCAUAUUUGUCAUAACUUUGGCAUGUAAUUAUUAAAUAAUAAAACGGUAAAAGAACAUGAAAAUCACCACAGUGGUUCUUGGGGAGAUGUAGAACAAGAAUCAUGUGAAGUUUGCAGUAAACAGUUUGAUUUUAUUUUUUUAAUGAAUUUUUAAAAUAUUUCUACCGACACAAAACACCUACCACGCAACCUCAUGUAGACGCGCAGUACAAUUUAAAGCAUAGAUGGCGUGACCGCGUUUCUCCGAAGCGCAGAUGGCGUGACCGCAGUGACCGGCUCCAUGAGGACAACACAAAGGACGCUCGAGAUUCACUGCGGGAGCUUCGCCUGGUCCCGCAACUGGCUGGAAAAGUUAAUAGCCAAGUCGAGGAACAGUUGUUUGCAAAACUAAAAAAAAAACAAAAAACUACUUCCUAAACAUGGCUUUGCCGUCGACUCAUGUGUUCCUCAUGCGAAACAUAAUUCACCAUUACAAUAUUCGCAGAAGAAGAACGACUUGACCACAUGAAAAAGGAGUUUCAGACAAACAUUCUAAUGAAUGUCCACAGCCAGGCUGUUUUCGGUCAUUUUUCACUGUACUUGUGCACUUUUGUUAUGAAUGUGACACUUUAUUACUCAUUGGACUGAUCUGUUCACGUUUUUGUAGAACAUAUAACAUCUGAGGAAUCCAUGGAUGUGUCAGUAGGUCAGUAAAUUGUUGUGUCCAGUCCCCUCCCUCAGGUGGAGCUACACAAAUUACUUGCUCACUAAGUGCAAACAGGCACACUAACUUAGAAAUUUAGAGCAAAGUUUAUGAUUUCUAAGCUUGUUUUUUUCAGUAGCAGUGCCAGACACCAUUUUAAAACCCUCAGCAACACCAGCAACCAUUGCGAUCCCUGCAGUGAGUGAGACUGCAUCACCAGAAGCCGCUGCUUUGGGACCAACAACCCUGUUGGAAUAUUUUUCACCAGUAAAGCCAUGGGAAAGGGACUGGCAUCCAGUGCAAGAAAAACUGGUCAAAUUAUUAUUGUUGAAAUUGAAUGUGCAUGCAUUUGCAGUCGAGCACUAUUGUUUGACUAACCAUUUUUUUUAUAGCUUGAUCACGUGCUGGAUGUCAAUCGGCCUGGAGCUGAAAUUAUUGUCAAGGAUUGUCCAUCUAUGAAUUUAGACAUGCAGUUUCAGGCUCUAAUUUGGGCUAUGUUCCUUUAGCCAUUUCUAGCUUUUGUUCUACUAUACAAUUAGCUUUGUUCAGAGUUUAAAGGCCAUGUUUUAUUGCCUUAACUCUUUGUUCUCCUAGCCAUUUCUUGCAUGUUUUGGCUACGUUCAUUUAGCCUUUUUUGCGUGAUGUGUCUGUUCUCAGGUUACAGAUGAGCUGUCAUUUAAAUUUGAUCAAUCAUAUUCAUGUUUUUUUCUACAGACAAAUUGCCAACCAAAUUGAUCCGGGGAUCUGGACAGAAAUGACUGGAAAGGAUUUUUCGGCUUUGCCACGUCAGACAAGAGGGAAUGACUGUGGUGUUUUUGUGCUGAUGUACACCCUCUCAAUGGUCUGUGACAUCGAGUUCGAUUUCCAGGAGGUUGACUUGCCCAUGAUUAGAAAAUGGUGGUGCCUUGUGCUAAUGGAACGAUUUCAAAUUGACGGCUAUGGGCGCAGGUUUGCCUUCUGGACAGACGAGGAAAAAUGCUUAUUGGAGGCAAAAACUCAACCUCUGUAUAGGUUAAAAUGAAGCAGAAGCACCACACAUGAUGUCCCACAGCACGUCCAAGCAGUCCAAGAUCGGACAAGAACCGAAGAAGCACUGGUGGACUGCAUUGUGACUUCAAAGGGAACAGAGCAGCAUUUAGAGGAUGUUCUCAAUGGGAAACCAUCAAAGUGGUUCCCCCUAAAGCCACGUGUGCCAGUACACAUGGACAGUGAGCAGGUGUGUGUUAUUCUUUCUGAACACCUCAAAGCUCUGCUGCAUCCUUCUAAAACUCAACUCAACUUCACAGAUGAAGCGGAGUUCAUUUGUAGUUUUCUUUUUCCUGAGGCCAUCAUUCAUGGCCUAUGUGAGCUGCAGGCAUUAUCCUGACAGGAGGCUGAGGAGGUGUUCCUCCGUGGCCCUACUUAUCACCCUAGUGAAGUUGAGGAAUUUGACAGGGUGAUUGCAAAACGAAUGAGAAAAGAAGCAACAUUCACCUACCAGAAACAAGAUGACGGUGAUCAAGGUGAUCGUUAAAUAAAGUACAGAAUUGUUUAUUAUUGGUGUUUUGUCUAUUCUUAUUUGAGUUUUGCUUCACAUUAAAAUAUCAAAAAACUUUGUAAUGUUAGCAUGGUAUAAUGUUAAUUAGACCAUUAUAGGUUGAACUGAAAGAAAAAUUGGAAUUUGGAUAAAAAAAAAAAAAAACAUUGUAGCAAUAUAAUAUCACAUAAUAUUUUUCAGAAGAUGGUUCAAUCUGUAAUUGUAUCCCUUUCUUUCAAUUACACCCACGCUCAAAAAAUAACUACUGGGUAAUUUGUUAGUUUGAGAACACGAUGAGGUUUUUUGGCACAUGCAUUAAGCAGAGAACGCAAAUAUUUAUUUGGAUAACUUUAAAUAAAAAGAGACCGCGUCCUAUAAUGUUUUCAAUGGCAUUUGGAUAAGGGUGUUAUACGAUCUUCCGAACAGCAGUAGGCGCUGUCUCGAAAAACGAGGGGACUGAGAAUGCGGGACUCUGGGUGCGGCACUGUAGAUGCA
Long non-coding RNA from Megalobrama amblycephala (Wuchang bream), 4869 nucleotides. RefSeq lists it as uncharacterized. The record is from RefSeq and is a predicted model, not a curated record. NCBI's taxonomy places the organism in Eukaryota, Metazoa, Chordata, Actinopteri, Cypriniformes, Xenocyprididae. The transcript has 12 exons.